This is a long non-coding RNA of Gigantopelta aegis, 157 nucleotides long. RefSeq lists it as uncharacterized. The record is from RefSeq and is a predicted model, not a curated record. The transcript is spliced from 2 exons. Lineage: Eukaryota; Metazoa; Mollusca; Gastropoda; Neomphalida; Peltospiridae.
AAAAAAAAAAAAAAAAAAAAAAAAAAAAAAAAAUACCAUAGCCAGUGAGGUGUAUCCGAGGCGUGGUUAUUGCUAGUUGAAAACUAUUCCCAAUACCCCGUGCAGACGCCCUUAACUGGGCGGCUAGCACAAUUUUUAAUUGCCUCUACGGGGGCUA